This 71-nucleotide transfer RNA is filed under the name Podarcis lilfordi (Lilford's wall lizard). RNAcentral's name for it is "tRNA.Ile". Lineage: Eukaryota; Metazoa; Chordata; Lepidosauria; Squamata; Lacertidae. The record is from RNAcentral.
GGAUAGCUCAAUUGGUUAAGAGUGUGGGGCUGAUAACACCAAGACUGCAGGUUCGAUCCCCAUAUGGGACA